This 73-nucleotide transfer RNA is filed under the name Caldilineaceae bacterium. RNAcentral describes it as "tRNA-Pro". It matches the Rfam family "tRNA". From Rfam's summary of the family: Transfer RNA (tRNA) molecules are approximately 80 nucleotides in length. The record is from RNAcentral. Lineage: Bacteria; Bacillati; Chloroflexota; Caldilineae; Caldilineales; Caldilineaceae.
ACUCCGGUAGCCCAAUGGCAGAGGCAGCGGCCUAGGAAGUCGUUCAGUGCGGGUUCGAUUCCCGCCCGGAGUA